GACAGAGGGGGCAAGCGUUGCUCGGAAUUACUGGGCGUAAAGGGCGCGUAGGCGGAAUGGCAAGUCGGUCGUGAAAUCCUUCGGCUCAACCGAAGAACGUCGAUCGAAACUGCCGUUCUUGAGGAUUGCAGAGGAGACUGGAAUUCCCGGUGUAGCGGUGAAAUGUGUAGAGAUCGGGAGGAACACCGGUGGCGAAGGCGGGUCUCUGGGCAAUUCCUGACGCUGAGGCGCGAAAGCGUGGGGAGCAAACAGG
This 253-nucleotide ribosomal RNA is filed under the name uncultured bacterium. Its description in RNAcentral is "partial 16S ribosomal RNA". It matches the Rfam family "Bacterial small subunit ribosomal RNA", at positions 524 to 776 of the family's 1533-position model. The record is from RNAcentral.